RNAcentral lists this ribosomal RNA (384 nucleotides) under Ephedrus validus. RNAcentral describes it as "eukaryotic LSU rRNA". Lineage: Eukaryota; Metazoa; Arthropoda; Insecta; Hymenoptera; Braconidae. The record is from RNAcentral.
CCUGAGAAACCCAAAAGAUCGAAUGGGGAGAUUCAUCGUCAGCAUAUUUAAUAUAUAUAUAAGUUAUGAUGUAAAUUAUGUUUAAUGUUUUACAUUAAACUAAUUUGCACGUACUUAUAAUAUUUUAUUGUUAAAUAUUGUCGUCGUGCACUUCUCCCCUAGUAGGACGUCGCGACCCGUUGAGUGUCGGUUUUACGGCCUGAUUGAAUUGUCUUUAAUAGUAAAAUAUUAAAAAUCAAUUAGUGUUUCCUAACCGACUGCUUGGCGGUACUCGUACGGUAUUGAGUCGCAAAUUUAUAUUUGCGUUUACACCCAUUAUAAACUAUUAGUUUUAAUGGUGUUCUGUAACUGGCUCUCAAUAUAAUUACCGGUCGGUUGGGUACU